GGAAAAAGAGUGGCAACUUCCUUGGCUCUCCUAUCCUGCAGUAGGUGAGCCCUCUGCAUGGGAUCUUUCGGGGCUGAGAGCUCUUUUCUGUUAAAGGAAUGUCUGCAAAAGACAAGACAAAUACAUUUGAACAGUCCCGAGGAGAGGUAAUUUCAGAGUAGACACCUAUUUCUCCACCAGAAACAAAGCAGAUCCCAGAUCUGAAAAGCAGGCUUGAGGAGGCAAGAGGAAGCAUCCAGGAACCCCAGAGCAGGCAGUGGAUUACCCAUUGGCUCUGGGUAAAGCCAAGAGGGUUUAGAGAGGGAUUUGCGCUGUUUCAGCCUCCUGAUUCAACUCCUCUCCAAGGAAAGAGGCUCAGUAGGCCAACCAAGCCACUUUUCCUCUCUUGAGGGAAGACGACCAAAGAUGCAACUUGCCCAGCUGUCUGUUAUGAACGAAAUUGCAUCCCCGCAAAAUUCAUAUGUUGAAGGCCUAACACCUCGUACCUCAGUAUUUGACUGUAUUUGGAGACAGGGUCUUUACAGAGGUAAUAAAGGUGACACGAGGUCAUUAGAGUGGGCCCUAAUCCAUUAUGAUGGGCAUUUAUAAAAGGAGGAGAUUAGGACACAGAGAAGAAUGCAUGGAGAAAAGACCAUGUGAAGACUCAGGGAGGGUGUGGUCAUCUACAAGCCAAGGAGAGAGGCAUCAGAAGAAACAAUCCUCACAACACCUUGAUCUUGGAGUUCUAGCCUCCAGAGCAGUGAGAAAAACAAACCGCCAUCCAGGAUGUGGCCCUUUGUUAUGGCAGCCCUCGAAAACCAACACACAGCAGAACAACACCAGAGGCAAAUCAGAAAGAAAAUGAGAUGCAGACUCCAGCAGCCUGGUCUCCCAGUCAGGACACAAGCCAGACCUGGACGGAAGUGGUCACAGCACUUCUAGCUCCAAAAUAACCACUGGGUGGAGGGUCCUGGUUCCUCCUCCCACCAACCCCACGCAGCCCUCUCUAUCCCCAUCUUCUCAGGCUCACUGAGUGCAAUGUCUGCCUGCAUCCCUCUAUCAGGGGCCUUCCUCUGCCCACAGAGGGAGUUAUAUACAAGCCCGAGGAAUGAGGAAGAGAAGACAAAAGCAAGAUGGAGCCUCACUGUCUGAUUUUCCCAGACGUUCCCAGGAGGUCCUGGUUAUGCAGGGCAGUCUGGAUUUUUGGUGCGUACACCAUUAGAUGCCUCUUUCUUACUCUGCUUAGCGCACCAGGUCUGUAGGUUCUGGUUCUUAAGGGCCAUGUAGAGUCCAACUAAAAAGGGCAGGUGUUUGUUUUCCAACCCAAUUUCCUUCUAGUGGCGGAAACACUUGCAGCCCUUUCCCUUCCCUUCCUUGCCCACUGACCUCCACUCUCUCCCCUGUUGUAGACAGUGGUGUGUCUUCUGUCAAAUGCAUUUCUCCACCAGUCAUAGCACUCAUUCUGAGACAAUCACAAGCUCAGAAAACCUAACAAAAGUAGGUGCUGUUUCUUGAGUGCCUACCACGUGGCCAGCACUGUACUAGUCACUUUACUCACCAUAUUUCCAGCCCUCACAGCCACCCCUGCAGGUGGGAAUGACCACUCCCUUCCUAAAGAUGAGAAAACCUGAACUAGGAGUGGUGGCUCGCACCUGUAAUCCCAGGGACUCAGGAUGCUGAAGUAGGAGGAUCGCUUGAGCCCAAGAGUUCGACGCUGCAGUGAGCUAUGAUCCCACUGCUGCACUUUAGCCUGGGUGAAAAAGUGAGACCCUAUCUCUAAAAAAUAAAUAAAAAUAAAAAUAAAAGAUGAGAAAACCAAGGCUCAGGAGAAGUAACUUGUCCAGGGUCAGGCAGCCUGCUCUAGGCAGAGCUAGAACAGAAAGUGAGCUUUGGCUGACAUAUUUGCUUUGAACUUUUCACUCUGCAACUCUGAUGAGAAAAAGUAUAUCUACACUGUGAAAGGCUAUACAAGGAAAAUUGGAUUUUUUCCAAUUCUUAUUGAUAAUAACUAGGAGACAUUAAAAAGAAAGAGAGAGGAGCCAGGCACAGUGGUUCAUGCCCGUAAUCCCAGCACUUUGGGAGGCCAAGGUGGGCAAAUCACUUGAGCCCAGAAAUUUGAGACUAGCCUGGGCAACAUGCAAAACCCCAUCUCUAUAAAAAAAAAUACAAAAAUUAGCUGGACAUGGUGGCAGGAACCUGUAGUCCCAGCUACUCGGGAGGCUGAGAGGGGAGGAUUAUUUGAGCCCAGGAGGUGGUGGCUGCAGUGAGACAAGAUCACGCCACUGCACUCCAGCCUAGGUGACAGAGAGAGACUCUGAAAAAAAAAAAAAGAGAAAGAGAGGGAGAGGAGAGAGAGAGAAAUCUUCAACAAGCACAAAAAUGCCAUGACUUCUAAAACUAAGAUCUGAUCUCCAACUUAAAAACCUUCUGUCUCUGUUUUGCCUGCAGAGAAGUAUAAAUUCCUUUGGAGAAUGAAGCUGCUUUCCAAUGCUUGCUGUAAUAGCCCUCUGCAUCUUUCUUUCAUAACAUCCAGUACAAUUUGAAGUUAUAUAUUGGGUGAUUGUUUGAUUAAUGUUUGUCUUUCUGAAAUUUUGAGGUAGCAUGAUCAUAUAACUUAAAGUGUAAAUGGGAACACUUUUGAAAGUAAAAGGAGAUGUUAUUAAUAAUUAUUCCAGGACAAAAAGGAGACUGGAACAUGUGGUCAUCCUACAGGUGAAGCAGAGACCAACUCUGGUUUACUUGUCAUUGCAGUCCCAGUGCCAGAUUCCAUACUUGGCACAGAGUAGAUGCUCAAUAAAUAAACAUGAUGAUUGAUUUAACAA
RNAcentral lists this long non-coding RNA (2801 nucleotides) under Homo sapiens (human). RNAcentral's name for it is "HSALNT0181515". The record is from RNAcentral. Lineage: Eukaryota; Metazoa; Chordata; Mammalia; Primates; Hominidae.